This is a long non-coding RNA of Zootermopsis nevadensis, 679 nucleotides long. RefSeq lists it as uncharacterized. NCBI's taxonomy places the organism in Eukaryota, Metazoa, Arthropoda, Insecta, Blattodea, Termopsidae. The record is from RefSeq and is a predicted model, not a curated record.
AAACAAGUGCACUUGCAAAUAAUAAUUUGCUUCCUCCCACAAAACGAAAUAUUCUAAAUUAAAUAAUAUUUCUGCCACGAGAGUUCACACAAUCGCAGAAUAAGACGCAGGUGGGUGUGAGUGGUCAGCAUCAUGACCCGGCUACGCUUUACCCCUGGAAAGGACCCUGGUACCCACUGGAUAGGAGGCUGGUUGGCUGGCCUGGACGCAGAGGCAAGAGGAAAAAUCCUUUUCUAUACCGCGGGCCGUUUUGAAUAUUCAUAUUCUUGAAUACAAGCAACCGUCACGUUGGAAAUACCGAGUGCAGGAAAACACAAAACUGAAGAAUAUUCACACACCUUCACAAUGCUUGCCAUCAGAAUGCAGCUCAAAUCCAAUUCUACAAGAACACUCAUACCCGCCAAGAGUAUUUAUGCAGUUAUGUUCACAGCCAUGGGUUUGUAGCGCACAUUCAUCAAACUCUGCAACACCAAUUGUUUAUUUUAAGCAUCAAUUUUACAUGACCAGUGGAUUUAAAUCCCAAACUGCCAGAAUGCUAGCCAGAGUUUAAUCUCAGGGUUUAGCGGUAUGCUAGUGUGACACACAACCAGUUGGGUCAUAUGUAUAAGCCUCAACACAUGGAUGGUCAAUGAUAAUGUAAGUUAAUAAUACAAGUAAGUGCUACUUAAAAAUGUAACUA